UCGAGAAUUUUUCACAGUGGGCGCAAGCCUGAUGGAGCGACGCCGCGUGGGGGAUGAAUGGCUUCGGCCCGUAAACCCCUGUCAUUUGCGAUCAAACCUUGCUAUUUAAAAGAUGGCGAGCUGAUAGUAGCGAAAGAGGAAGGGACGGCUAACUCUGUGCCAGCAGCCGCGGUAAUACAGAGGUCCCAAGCGUUGUUCGGAUUCACUGGGCGUAAAGGGUGCGUAGGUGGUGGGGUAAGUCGGAUGUGAAAUCUCGGAGCUCAACUCCGAAAUGGCAUUGGAAACUACCCUGCUAGAGGGUCGGAGGGGGGACUGGAAUUCUCGGUGUAGCAGUGAAAUGCGUAGAUAUCGAGAGGAACACCAGUGGCGAAGGCGAGUCCCUGAACGACUCCUGACACUGAGGCACGAAAGCUAGGGGAGCAAACA
Molecule: ribosomal RNA, 426 nt
Filed under: uncultured bacterium
Lineage: Bacteria
Description: bacterial SSU rRNA
Rfam family: Bacterial small subunit ribosomal RNA
Source: RNAcentral